GAUGAACGCUGGCGGCGUGCCUAAUACAUGCAAGUCGAACGCUUUGUGGUUCAACUGAUUUGAAGAGCUUGCUCAGAUAUGACGAUGGACAUUGCAAAGAGUGGCGAACGGGUGAGUAACACGUGGGAAACCUACCUCUUAGCAGGGGAUAACAUUUGGAAACAGAUGCUAAUACCGUAUAACAAUGACAACCGCAUGGUUGUUAUUUAAAAGAUGGUUCUGCUAUCACUAAGAGAUGGUCCCGCGGUGCAUUAGCUAGUUGGUAAGGUAAUGGCUUACCAAGGCGAUGAUGCAUAGCCGAGUUGAGAGACUGAUCGGCCACAAUGGGACUGAGACACGGCCCAUACUCCUACGGGAGGCAGCAGUAGGGAAUCUUCCACAAUGGGCGAAAGCCUGAUGGAGCAACGCCGCGUGUGUGAUGAAGGGUUUCGGCUCGUAAAACACUGUUGUAAGAGAAGAAUGACAUUGAGAGUAACUGUUCAAUGUGUGACGGUAUCUUACCAGAAAGGAACGGCUAAAUACGUGCCAGCAGCCGCGGUAAUACGUAUGUUCCAAGCGUUAUCCGGAUUUAUUGGGCGUAAAGCGAGCGCAGACGGUUAUUUAAGUCUGAAGUGAAAGCCCUCAGCUCAACUGAGGAAUUGCUUUGGAAACUGGAUGACUUGAGUGCAGUAGAGGAAAGUGGAACUCCAUGUGUAGCGGUGAAAUGCGUAGAUAUAUGGAAGAACACCAGUGGCGAAGGCGGCUUUCUGGACUGUAACUGACGUUGAGGCUCGAAAGUGUGGGUAGCAAACAGGAUUAGAUACCCUGGUAGUCCACACCGUAAACGAUGAGUGCUAGGUGUUUGAGGGUUUCCGCCCUUAAGUGCCGCAGCUAACGCAUUAAGCACUCCGCCUGGGGAGUACGACCGCAAGGUUGAAACUCAAAGGAAUUGACGGGGACCCGCACAAGCGGUGGAGCAUGUGGUUUAAUUCGAAGCAACGCGAAGAACCUUACCAGGUCUUGACAUCCCUUGACAACUCCAGAGAUGGAGCGUUCCCUUCGGGGACAAGGUGACAGGUGGUGCAUGGUUGUCGUCAGCUCGUGUCGUGAGAUGUUGGGUUAAGUCCCGCAACGAGCGCAACCCUUAUUACUAGUUGCCAGCAUUCAGUUGGGCACUCUAGUGAGACUGCCGGUGACAAACCGGAGGAGGGUGGGGAUGACGUCAAAUCAUCAUGCCCCUUAUGACCUGGGCUACACACGUGCUACAAUGGCGUAUACAACGAGUUGCCAACCCGCGAGGGUGAGCUAAUCUCUUAAAGUACGUCUCAGUUCGGAUUGUAGGCUGCAACUCGCCUACAUGAAGUCGGAAUCGCUAGUAAUCGCGGAUCAGCACGCCGCGGUGAAUACGUUCCCGGGUCUUGUACACACCGCCCGUCACACCAUGAGAGUUUGUAACACCCAAAGCCGGUGGGGUAACCUUCGGGAGCCAGCCGUCUAAGGUGGGACAGAUGAUUAGGGUG
Molecule: ribosomal RNA, 1499 nt
Filed under: Weissella confusa
Lineage: Bacteria; Bacillati; Bacillota; Bacilli; Lactobacillales; Lactobacillaceae
Description: bacterial SSU rRNA
Rfam family: Bacterial small subunit ribosomal RNA
Source: RNAcentral